UACGAAGGCCCCAAGCGUUAUCCGGAUUUAUUGGGCGUAAAGCGUGUGUAGGCGGUUUAUUUCAUCUCUUGUUAAAUCAUCGGGCUUAACCCGGUGGCCGCGAGAGAAAUGGGUAAACUAGAGACAGGAAGAGGCAAGUGGAAUUGCUGGUGUAGGGGUUAAAUCCGUUAAUAUCAGCAGGAACACCGAAUGCGUAGGCAGCUUGCUAGGACUGUUCUGACGCUGAGACACGAAAGAGUGGGGAGCGAAUGGG
RNAcentral lists this ribosomal RNA (253 nucleotides) under uncultured bacterium. RNAcentral's name for it is "partial 16S ribosomal RNA". It matches the Rfam family "Bacterial small subunit ribosomal RNA", at positions 524 to 776 of the family's 1533-position model. The record is from RNAcentral.